RNAcentral lists this ribosomal RNA (486 nucleotides) under uncultured bacterium. Its description in RNAcentral is "partial 16S ribosomal RNA". It matches the Rfam family "Bacterial small subunit ribosomal RNA", at positions 30 to 507 of the family's 1533-position model. The record is from RNAcentral.
AUUGAACGCUGGCGGCAUGCCUUACACAUGCAAGUCGAACGGCAGCACGGGUGCUUUCUCCUGGUGGCGAGUGGCGAACGGGUGAGUAAUACAUCGGAACAUGUCCUGUAGUGGUGGAUAGCCCGGCGAAAGCCGGGUUAAUACCGCAUACGAUCUACGGAUGACAGCGGGGGACCUGCGGGCCUUGCGCGAUUGGGUUGGCCGAUGGCUGAUUAGCUAGUUGGUGGGGUAAAGGCCUACCAAGGCGACGAUCAGUAGCUGGUCUGAGAGGACGACCAGCGACACUGGGACUGAGACACGGCCCAGACUCCUACGGGAGGCAGCAGUGGGGAAUUUUGGACAAUGGGCGAAAGCAUGAUCCAGCAAUGCCGCGUGUGUGAAGAAGGCCUUCGGGUUGUAAAGCACUUUUGUCCGGAAAGAAAUCCUUGGGCCUAAUACGGUCGGGGGAUGACGGUACCGGAAGAAUAAGCACCGGCUAACUACGUG